Long non-coding RNA from Salvia splendens (bonfire salvia), 879 nucleotides. RefSeq lists it as uncharacterized. Lineage: Eukaryota; Viridiplantae; Streptophyta; Magnoliopsida; Lamiales; Lamiaceae. The transcript is spliced from 2 exons. The record is from RefSeq and is a predicted model, not a curated record.
UUUCCAUAUAGUAAAAUUUUGGAUUUUCGAAUCAGAUGCAAAAAGUAUGAUUAAUAUUGUUUAACACCCCUCAAACUUUUCCAUAUUAACAUUCCAACCCCUCCAUUUCAAACUUUAGAAAUCGCAGACAUUCUCCGGCAAGAGCUUAUCACCAAAAGAGAAAAUCUAUACUACUUAAAAGUGGCCGUGGGUUGAAAAGUCGUUGAUACCUUUUUUGGAGGGAAAAUGAGAUGCAUAAUAUAGCAGGUGUGGUUCUGCUUGGAAUCCGGCGAUAGCUGGCGGGUGAGGCGACAAGAGAGAUGCCGGAAAUGAAGAGGAAGUGGCGGCGACAAUGCUGUGCAGGAUGGGUUACGACGGUGGCGGAAGCGGAAUAAAGAGAAGGAGAGGUGACGGCGGUGGCGGCUGGACUCUCACGUCGGCAAGCCCAAUACCUAAGAGUUACGAGAGAGAGGGGUUGGUGACCGGCGAUGGUGGUUGGGUGGCGUGGAGGAGUCCUCAAGCCAAUGGCCGAGAGGUGGAACCGCGAGAAGGAGAGAAAGAAGAACGAUAGGCGGGCGGCGACGCCAUUGCCAGCCGAGAACAGUGAGACUGAUAGUGACAAAGGCGCCGCUGCCCUCUCUAAUAUCUGAAACAUGAUUUUGAAAUAGUAGGGUUUCACUUCUAUUUAGUUGUUGGGCUCAUUGUUUGGGCUAAAAAUUAUUUAAUUGUUUUACUUCUAUUUAGAUGAUGGGCUCUUUGUCUGGGCCAUAUUUAGAGGUAUUGAAAGCAUAGGGUUUAGGAGCGUACUCAUACGAAUUCGUUUUGCAUGUCCAAGUACAAAUACUAAAUAAUUUAUACAGUAUAUUUUGUAUUAAAUUAAAGAUGAAUAGCUAAGAAAAA